Molecule: long non-coding RNA, 1154 nt
Organism: Oncorhynchus tshawytscha (Chinook salmon)
Lineage: Eukaryota; Metazoa; Chordata; Actinopteri; Salmoniformes; Salmonidae
Source: Ensembl
CAGAGACAGAGCGAGAGCCAGAGUCAGAGAGAGAGCCAGAGACAGAGCGAGAGCCAGAGUCAGAGAGAGAGCGAGAGACAGAGUCAGAGAGAGAGCCACAGACAGAGAGAGAGCCAGAGAGAGAGCCACAGACAGAGAGAGAGCCAGAGAGAGAGACAGAGACAGAGAGAGAGCCACAGACAGAGAGAGAGCCAGAGAGAGAGCCAGAGACAGAGAGAGAGCCAAAGAGAGAGCCACAGACAGAGAGAGAGCCAGAGUCAGAGAGAGAGCCACAGACAGAGAGAGCCAGAGAGAGAGCCACAGACAGAGAGAGAGCCAGAGUCAGAGAGAGAGCCACAGACAGAGAGAGAGCCAGAGAGAGAGCCACAGACAGAGAGAGAGCCAGAGAGAGAGCCAGAGACAGAGAGAGAGCCACAGACAGAGAGAGAGCCAGAGAGAGAGCCAGAGACAGAGAGAGAGCCAAAGAGAGAGCCAGAGACAGAGCGAGAGCCAGAGUCAGAGAGAGAGCCACAGACAGAGAGAGAGCCAGAGAGAGAGCCAGAGUGAGAGCCAGAGAGAGAGCCAGAGACAGAGCCAGAGACAGAGAGAGAGCCAGAGACAGAGAGAGAGCCAGAGACAGAGAGAGAGCCAGAGACAGAGAGAGAGAGCCAGAGACAGAGCCACAGACAGAGAGAGAGAGCCAGAGAGAGAGACAGAGACAGAGAGAGAGCCAGAGACAGAGCCAGAGUCAGAGAGAGAGCCACAGACAGAGAGAGAGCCAGAGAGAGAGCCACAGACAGAGAGAGAGCCAGAGCGAGAGCCACAGACAGAGAGAGAGCCAGAGAGAGAGCCAGAGACAGAGCCAGAGACAGAGCCAGAGAGAGAGCCAGAGAGAGAGCCAGAGACAGAGAGAGAGCCAGAGACAGAGAGAGAGCCAGAGAGAGAGCCAGAGACAGAGAGAGAGCCAGAGACAGAGAGAGAGAGCCAGAGACAGAGCCACAGACAGAGAGAGAGCCAAAGAGAGAGCCACAGACAGAGAGAGAGCCACAGACAGAGAGAGAGCCACAGACAGAGAGAGAGCCACAGACAGAGAGAGAGAGCCACAGACAGACAGUCAAAGACAGACAGAGACCGAGCACAUUUGGUCACCCCACCAGUAGGGUAUAAAAUAUAAA